Ostrinia furnacalis (Asian corn borer) is the source of this 565-nucleotide long non-coding RNA. RefSeq lists it as uncharacterized. The transcript has 2 exons. The record is from RefSeq and is a predicted model, not a curated record. NCBI's taxonomy places the organism in Eukaryota, Metazoa, Arthropoda, Insecta, Lepidoptera, Crambidae.
GCCUCCUGCAGCGACGAUGGUGAUCAAAGAAAUUGAGCCCGUUGUUCUACUACGCUACUGCACUCCAUGAGCACAUGCUGCGGUGUUUCCUCUGCCUCCAUGCACCCCCUGCACAGUGGGCUGUCUGUAACACCUAUGUUGUGUAGAUGCUUGUUUAGCAUACAGUGUCCGGUUAUGACACUCGUAGCACCGUAAUAACGCUAGAGGCAGCUCGCCUGCGGCUGGUGAGCGUUCGAUCGUGUCGCCGCCCAUGUGCACUGAGAUUAUUUGGUAUGGAGUAAAAACAAGUGUUAUUCUAAAACUCAGUAUGCCGAGUAGUGUCGUAGUGACGCUAACGGGAGUUCGCCCGCUGUUGCAGCGCGCUCGGUCGUGUCGCCGCCCAUGUGCACUGAGAUUAUGUGCAUGGCCAGCGUCUAUGGAGUAGGAAAAAAAUAAGGUGUUAUUCUAAAACUCAGUAUGCCGAGUAGCGCCGCAGUAAAGCUAACGGGAGCUCGCCGGCCGCUGCAGCGCGCUCGGUCGUGUCGCCGCCCAUGUGCACUGAGAUUAUGUGUUUGGCCAGCGUCUA